UCUGUAUGAUUAUAUAUAAAGUCUAGCCUGCCCACUGAUUUUUAAAGGGCCGCGGUAAUUUGACCGUGCGAAGGUAGCAUAAUCAUUAGUCUUUUAAUUGAAGGCUGGAAUGAAUGGUUGGAUGAGGGAUAUACUGUCUUUAAUUUAAAAAAUAAAUUUAACUUUUAAGUGAAAAGGCUUAAAUAUUUUAGUGGGACGAUAAGACCCUAUAAAACUUUAUUUGGUGUGGGGUUAGCGAUGAUCUUGUUUUAAAAUUGUUAUUUUUGCAUUAAAUUUUGUUGGGGAGACAUUAAUAUAAUAGGUAACUGUUGUUGAAAUUAAAUAAUUAUAAUUAGGUUUUGAUCCUUUAUUAGAGAUUAAAAGAUUAAGUUACUUUAGGGAUAACAGCGUAAUUUCCUUUGAGAGUUCUUAUCGACAAGGUUAGUUGCGACCUCGAUGUUGAAUUAAAAUUUCUGGGGGGUGUAGUCUUUCUCCUAGUAGGUCUGUUCGACCUUUAAAAUU
RNAcentral lists this ribosomal RNA (501 nucleotides) under Hymenocera picta. Its description in RNAcentral is "partial 16S ribosomal RNA". It matches the Rfam family "Bacterial large subunit ribosomal RNA", at positions 1831 to 2595 of the family's 2925-position model. Lineage: Eukaryota; Metazoa; Arthropoda; Malacostraca; Decapoda; Palaemonidae. The record is from RNAcentral.